UAUAUCUAAAUACCGAUCAGGAAUUUAUUUCAGACAAAUUUUGAACCAACUACAGUAUAGCUAUUUGACUGAUUUUUAAUAUUCUUUAUUGUCUGUUGUAUACAUUUAUCAUGUAAAUGAUGGAAGACAUUCAAAUCUCUUUCGAAGUUAACACCUGGUAGAGUAUAUGAGAAGUUUAUACCUAAUGUUGAAUAAAUAUGUUAAAUACUACAUGUCUAGAUAUUUUAUUUACAUAGUUUUAGCAUAGUGAGAAAAGAAAUUACAGAUACAGUAACAGAAUGCUUUUUUACAUAUAUCAUUAGGGAUACUACUAGACUUGAAUGAGUAUAUAUGUCAGCAAUCAGUGAGUGCAUACAUUAAAACAAUGAAGUCAAUAGCAAACACCAAUUUAGGGUCUUAAGAUCUAGUCCAGAGUAAGCAAUCAAGCAUCCAGUAAACGUGCCAACAACAUGAGUGCCACUUGAAAUAGGAUUAGAAGAUUAAGAACUCCCCAUGUUGCUAAGAUAACUCAGAUAACCUUAGUCAUACAACUUAUUUUAUAUUUAAGAGAUCUCAGCGCAUCAUUGAGGUACAGUUUCAAGUGGUCAUAACUUUUUCUGCCCCAGAUUGAUUUUGGUUGGGUUUUUUUCUCAGCAUCACAGGAACCUAUAAAUCAUUUUAAGACACAAAUUUGCUUGUUAUACUAAAUGUCUGGGCCAACUAAAUUUCAUGUCGAUUUCUACUGGACUAUUUCUCUGUUAGAAGUCUUAAAACAUCUAAGUAUCCUGGUGUGUAACAACAUUUAUUUUCAUGUGUCUUGUAGGCAACAGAAAAUAUGUUACAAGUAAGCAAAAGACGGAGAAGACUUUUGUACAAUAGGAAAUGGAUAGCUGCAAAACGUUUAAAUAGGCAGCAUUUAUCAGAGAAGGAUGAACCUGAUAAAAGUACAGACGAAAGUUCAGGAGAGAGUGGAGAUGAACAUAGUUUAGUUCAAGAUGAAACUGAUUCUGCCAUUGCUUACAAUGGAACCAUGAAUUCAUACGAGGACACAUAUAUAUCAAAUGGAAGAAUUGUUGAAUCCAUGUGUGAUGAAGAUGAGCCUGAAACUUCCAGUCUUAUAAAUAUUUCAUCAUCCAGUGAGAGUGAUGAUAAUUCUGGAAGUCUUGUGGACUCUCUGAGAGUGUGGGCAAACACGUUUGAAGUUAAAGCUAAUGCUGUUGAUAAUUUGUUGAAGAUCUUAAAGGAAAGUGGCCAUCCAGACAUUCCCGCCUGUGCUAGAACUUUACUUAAAACACCAAGGAGUAUUGAGGUUUUGAGAGUCUCCAACAUGGACUAUUUUCACUUUGGACUUAAUGAAAUGCUGUGCAUUACACUCAGAAGGUUGCCUGAGGCAUGUUUUCAAAAUUUAGAUACUUUAAUGCUCAUAUUAAAUGUUGAUGGCUUUCCACUAUUCAAGAGCACUAAUUACUCUGUAUGGCCAAUAUUGGGUAUGAUUUGUAAUAUAAAACCAGCCAUACCUUUUCCUAUAGCUGUGACAGUUGGAAAAAGCAAACCAUCCAAUCUUGACUUCCUUGAAGAAACAAUCACAGAAUUGGAUAGUCUGCUUGCAGGUGGUCUGGAGUUCAAUGGUAAACAUUAUAAAGUAGAAUUAAAAUGUGUCACAAGUGAUGCACCGGCCAGGUCAUUUAUAAAAUGCACAAAGCAAUACUCAGGCUACUAUGGAUGUGACAAGUGCAAUCAAAGAGGCCUGUACAUUGGCAGAAUUACCUAUCCAUGCACAGAGAAUUUAAUUCUAAGGUCUAACCAAUCUUUCCGAAAUGUCGACCAAGAGGAGCACCAUAAGGGUAGAUCACCAUUCCUUAACCUUCCAAUGGAUAUGGUCUAUGACUUCCCUAUUGACUACAUGCAUCAAGUGUGUCUGGGGGUUAUGAAGAAGCUGCUCAUAACAUGGAUGCGUGGUCCACUUGGUAAUAAUAAAUUAUCAGCAGGACAAAUUGCUCAGAUAAGUGAGAAGUUGAUUCAUCUGCGACAAUUUAUUCCAUGUGAAUUUGCCAGAAAACCAAGGAACCUGGAAGAGGUAGAUAGGUGGAAGGCCACUGAAUUUAGACAGUUUCUGUUAUAUACUGGGCAGAUUGCUCUCAAAAACAUCCUUCAAGACCACCUCUAUCAUCACUUUAUGUGCCUGUGUGUUGCAAUGAACAUUUUAGUCAAUGAAAGGCUUGCUUUGAAAUAUGCUGACUAUGCACAUAAUCUUCUUCAAUACUUUGUUACUCAGUGCAGAGAAUUCUAUGGAAGAGAAUUUUUAGUGUACAAUGUACAUACUCUUCUUCAUUUGAAAAAAGAGGUGGAGAAAUUUGGUUCUUUAGAUGCAUGUGCUGCCUGGAAUUUUGAAAACUUUAUGCACCAGUUAAAGAGAAAAGUAAGAUGUGGGAAAAAUCCAGCUGCACAACUUGUGAAAAGAAUUUAUGAGUCUUGUGAUGUGAAGAAAGUACAUAAUCAAGAAACAGAUAUAAGCUGCAAAAGACCAAACAAUGUGUACCGGACUGAAAGGGGGAAGUAUUGUGAGGUGAUUCAACCAGCAAAUGCUCCUGAGAAAUCCUACCUCUGCCGAGUUUACCAUGGACAGGAAAAUGCCUUUACAGUACCAUGCAAUUCUGAGGUGAUUGGACAUGUGCAGUUUCGCACCAUUGAUUAUGAAAUUACAAUGCUGAAGGCUGAUACACUUGUGACAAGGUGUAUGAAAAUUGAUGUCUGUCAAGAUAACAAAUCAGCAUUCCUGUCACUUCAUCAUAGCUUCUGAAUGGAAUUUGUACAACAAAUUCGACCAUGGUGUUGCCUGACAUAGCUGCAUAAGAUUAAUUUAUCAUGUUUUCAGUCGUCCAUUUUGAGAAAGAGGACUGUGUUGAAUGUGUACCAACAAGUUGGAUAGACGG
RNAcentral lists this unclassified non-coding RNA (2912 nucleotides) under Haliotis rubra (blacklip abalone). RNAcentral describes it as "uncharacterized LOC124286598, transcript variant X3". Lineage: Eukaryota; Metazoa; Mollusca; Gastropoda; Lepetellida; Haliotidae. The record is from RNAcentral.